Molecule: unclassified non-coding RNA, 335 nt
Filed under: soil metagenome
Description: partial contains 5.8S ribosomal RNA, internal transcribed spacer 2, and large subunit ribosomal RNA
Rfam family: 5.8S ribosomal RNA (bases 1-120)
Source: RNAcentral
GAUGAAGAACGUAGCGAAAUGCGAUAAGUAAUGUGAAUUGCAGAAUUCAGUGAAUCAUCGAAUCUUUGAACGCACAUUGCGCCCAAUAGCAUUCUAGUGGGCAUGCCUGUUCGAGCGUCAUUUCAACCCUUAAGCCCUGUUGCUUAGCGUUGGGAGCCUACAGUACUGUAGCUCCCCAAAGUUAGUGGCGGAGUCGGUUUCACACUCUAGACGUAGUAAUUUUUUCUCGUCUGUAGUUGAGCCGGUCCCCUGCCGUAAAACACCCAAUUUAUCAAGGUUGACCUCGGAUCAGGUAGGAAUACCCGCUGAACUUAAGCAUAUCAAUAAGCGGAGGA